CUACAUCUCUGCAUGAACAAUUAAUGGUGUAGCAUUGCUAAGAAACAAACCAGGACAUUUUAUUUUCUUGUUAAGUUUGCUAUAUAAUGCGUUGUACUGCAUGCUGGUCGUUGUGCUGUAUUGAAGAUGUGUAUUUGGGCAGGCUGUUCUGCUUUUACAAAGGGUAAUUGAUUUUUUAAAAAAUAGUGAAGCCUAAUCAGCUGCAGCAUGCACACCAUAACACAGCAGACCACGGGUUCCUGUGUGACAGCUGUUGAAGGCUUUAAAAAUAAUUUACUUAGCUAAAAAACAAACAAAUUGUGCUUGCUUUAAGGAAAUGCUAGCAUUAGAUUUUCUUCCUAUAUUUUGAUGUUGCUGUAACACAAAAUUACCGACACUAUCUAUAAGAUCUAGGUUAAAAACAUUUGACGUUGGUUGUAAUAAAUAUUUUCUUAUGUGAAAAGGGAGUGCCAUUUGUAAAUAGCUUAGGAAUUGCAAACCCCCAGAUUAGUCACAUUAUGAGAGAGAGAUAUGAUGCUUCUUCAAGUCUGUGCUAGGAGAUGGAACAGUCACUGCAUGCAGUAAUGGUUCAUGCCUGCAGGUUGAUGCUCAACCCCUGAACCACACCGGCUGGGCCAAAAUUGGACAACUCAUUAUACAAGUGGUGAGCCCAGAGUGCACAGACCCACGGUUCCUAACCCAUCUAGACUGACUGCAGAGAGGGCUGAGCAGUUUGCGAGGUGAGGGUCCUGAGAAGCUGAAGAUCUACAUUCACAUUGAGCAUUGCCUGCACCUGCUAUGGUUUUAUGUAAAUGUAUAUGGAUGUUUUUGUAAUUAAUAAGCUUCACAGUCAAAAGUUAACUAAAUAUUAGUGCCUACGACGUUUGCAUUUUCUCAGGGAACAGAUACUAAAAGGAAAAGGGUCCAUAUAUUGGAAUAAAUAAGAAAUGAUAGCCUAGGUAAUUAGCAUCCCACAUAGCUAGCAUAUAUUUGAAUUGACAAAUUGCUAGCUACCUUUUUUAGGAGAAGGGAGAAAGGGAGAGAGGGAAAAAGUAUAAAAAUAUUUAUGCUGUGGCCUAUAUUUUAACAAUGCUGUAUAAUCGGGAUUGUUGUGAAGUAAUAAAGAUUGUAUGUUGUCCCUCCCCCAAUAUAAGGAUAUAUGAAACACGUCAAGAACCUAUGCUAUUUUUGCAUGUGUAUUUUAACUCUUUUUCUUAUUUUGGAUUCCUCUUAAGUGAAGAGAAAAAGGGCGUAUGAUAAUAAUGCGUGGUUGCAGAAAGCAAAAGGAGAAGCCUGGAAGAAUAAGGAGAAAAUAAAAAAAUAGGGAUGGGAGAUGAAGAGGGAAGGAAAUAAAGGAUAUUCAGUGGAAGAGGAUGUAGGACGAAGGUGUCUUUUAUUUGCUCUUAUGUUGAAUGUGCUUUCCUCCAUAUCUCUGUGGUGAACUAAGUAGUCUUGGGAAGAGUCAGAUUUUAUAGAAGGGUCUCCAUUGUACUCUCCCCUCCCCAUCCAGCUUUAAGGGUAGGGCAUUUACUGAUAACUAUUUUUACCUUUUCCAGCCCCCCACUCUGCCUCUGUUGGCUUUGUUUCUUAGUUUGUAGGGUAAUGUAUUUGAGUUGUAUGUAGUUUUCCUGAGUGGUGAGAUGACAGUGGCUGAUUAUGUUGUCUUCCCUCCUUAUGCUUUAUUUUUUUAAAAAUUUAAUUUUUAGUAAUCUUUUUAUUGAAUACAUAUGGGAAAGUACACAGAUAAUGUAAAUCAUUAUGAGAUCCAACUUAUUGAUUUUUUUUUUUUUAGUAGUUUAUAUUCUGUGUGUAUCUAAGAAAUCUUUGCCAAGCCCAAGGUCACUAAGGUUUUCUGCUAGGUUUACUUACAGGAGUUUUUGGCUCUUAAUAUUUAUGUACGUGAUUCAUUUUGGGUUUAGUAUUAAGGUAAAGAUUGUGAUUAUUUCCACAAAUGA
Molecule: long non-coding RNA, 1934 nt
Organism: Myotis myotis
Lineage: Eukaryota; Metazoa; Chordata; Mammalia; Chiroptera; Vespertilionidae
Exons: 2
Source: RefSeq, a predicted model, not a curated record